GUCUACAGCCAUGCCACCCUGAACGUGCCCAAUCCUGUCUGAUCUUGGAAGCUAAGCAGGGUUGGGCCUGGUGAGUACUUGAAUGGGAGACCACCUAGAAAUACCAGGUGCUGUAGGUA
RNAcentral lists this ribosomal RNA (119 nucleotides) under Pteropus alecto (black flying fox). The record is from RNAcentral. Lineage: Eukaryota; Metazoa; Chordata; Mammalia; Chiroptera; Pteropodidae.